Molecule: non-coding RNA, 350 nt
Organism: Pelobates cultripes (western spadefoot toad)
Lineage: Eukaryota; Metazoa; Chordata; Amphibia; Anura; Pelobatidae
Source: the annotation of a GenBank genome assembly
UUUUGCUGAGAAAGAACUGCUCCAAUAGCAUUUUCAGAUGCAUCUACUUGUAGGACAUAAGGAUAUGAAGGAUUUGGAAGGUGUAGAACAGGAGCAGUUGUAAAUCUGUUUUUUAAUUCAUCAAAAGCUUCUUGUGCAUUGUUAUUCCACCUAAAGGGAUGUUUGUUUCCGGUAAGGGCAUGGAGAGGAUGGGCUACUUCAGAGAAAUUCUUGAUAAACUUCCUGUAAAAAUUUGCAAAACCAAGAAAUCUCUGGACAUCUUUGAUGGAUGAAGGUUUAGGCCAGUCAAUAAUGCAUUUUAUUUUGGAAUCAUCCAUUCUUAUUGAAUGAGGCGAAAUAAUAUAGCCAAG